This 491-nucleotide ribosomal RNA is filed under the name uncultured bacterium. RNAcentral describes it as "partial 16S ribosomal RNA". It matches the Rfam family "Bacterial small subunit ribosomal RNA", at positions 29 to 506 of the family's 1533-position model. The record is from RNAcentral.
AGUGAACGCUGGCGGUAGGCCUAACACAUGCAAGUCGAACGGCAGCACAGUAAGAGCUUGCUCUUACGGGUGGCGAGUGGCGGACGGGUGAGGAAUACAUCGGAAUCUACUUUUUCGUGGGGGAUAACGUAGGGAAACUUACGCUAAUACCGCAUACGACCUACGGGUGAAAGCAGGGGAUCUUCGGACCUUGCGCGAUUGAAUGAGCCGAUGUCGGAUUAGCUAGUUGGCGGGGUAAAGGCCCACCAAGGCGACGAUCCGUAGCUGGUCUGAGAGGAUGAUCAGCCAAACUGGAACUGAGAAACGGUCCAGACUCCUACGGGAGGCAGCAGUGGGGAAUUUGGGACAAUGGGCGAAAGCCUGAUCCAGCCAUACCGCGUGGGUGAAGAAGGCCUUCGGGUUGUAAAGCCCUUUUGUUGGGAAAGAAAAGCAGCAGGUUAAUACCCCGCUGUUCUGACGGUACCCAAAGAAUAAGCACCGGCUAACUUCGU